UUCCGGGAAAGCGGACACCACCAUAACUGUAGUACUUCGACUGUACUAAAGCUAGAAUAAGAUUCGAAGAUCAAUCACUGGAUAGGAAAAUAAUUAAAGGAAGCAAGUACAUAGAGAUAUGACAUCACACAAGGACCAGAGCCAUCCAAUGAGGAGAUCCGAUGAAUUCAGUACUGACGCCAGGGAGCCGGACAGGGCAGAGGAGCAUCCAGUACAAGAUGAACUCCCCCCAGCAUCCUUGAGUCCAACGUCUUCUGUGGAGGCGUCAACCUCUUCUGAUGCACGGACGAAUCA
Acanthaster planci (crown-of-thorns starfish) is the source of this 294-nucleotide long non-coding RNA. The record is from RefSeq and is a predicted model, not a curated record. Lineage: Eukaryota; Metazoa; Echinodermata; Asteroidea; Valvatida; Acanthasteridae.